This 881-nucleotide long non-coding RNA is filed under the name Nicotiana tabacum (common tobacco). RNAcentral's name for it is "long non-coding RNA (NTAB_LNC006106)". The record is from RNAcentral. Lineage: Eukaryota; Viridiplantae; Streptophyta; Magnoliopsida; Solanales; Solanaceae.
AGAACUGAACGUUCCUUUGCCUGAUGAAGGAGCUGCGUAGGGAGAUCUUAUGUAUCAACAGGAGUUUCUCUAAAAUUAUAUAUUCCUCAUGCCCAGGUGAACACUGGUGAAAUUCAAUGUCUCAAAUACUAUCUGCACAGAUAGUGAGUGCUAGGGGCUAGUACUGAUUGUAAUUUAGACACUUUGGAUGAUCGAGUUAACAGAAAAACACGCCAAUGAAAAGUGCAAAACAUUUAAGAUGUUUGUGGUUUGAUACCAAACAAAGUUGUGAUCAACUAUAUGAAUCCUUUGUAACCACUCUGUAUUCCAGUACUACUUUGCUUAUAAAGAGUGUAUGUACAUACAAAGAGUUCUAGUUCAUUAUUCAAUAUGUAGUGUAUGGUGGCUUUUGAGGGUUAUUUGGAAGGCAAGCCUCUUAAAGUGUAUGAUUUUGAUUGCACAGGUUGCUGGAAGUGAUGUUGGUAUUACCGCAUUUCAGAUGGACAUAAAGGUAUACACAACAUAUUGGAUGUUUAUCAGCAGCAAGUAGUUAAACUAGUUCAAACGGCAGAAAUGAUUUUGGUUUUUUUUGUUUGAUCUUGUUAGGAUCGGGAACCCGGGUGGUGCGGAAUAUAGCCAAACAACGGUAUAAUGGCAAUAACAAAGACAAUGGAAGUUGAUAACAACGACAAUUAGAGUAGAUAAAGAAGACACAAAUUUAACGUGGUUCGGUCAAAGUGACCUACGUUCACAAGCGGAGAGGAGCAAUUUACUAUAACAAUAAGAGUACAAAAUUAGAGUAAACACUCUAAUUAAUCCCAAAUACCCUAAGAGAAUAACCUCACAAGAUCACUCCAAAGAAAGGGUUCACACAAGUGCUUUCCAACACUAACUCUCAUACA